AGAGUUUGAUCAUGGCUCAGGACGAACGCUGGCGGCGUGCUUAACACAUGCAAGUCACGGGGGCUGGAGCAAUCCAGUAACCGGCGAACGGGUGCGUAACACGUGAGCAACCUGCCGAUCUGAGGGGGAUAGCCGGCCCAACGGCCGGGUAAUACCGCAUACGUUCUUGAGAGGACAUCCUCUUGGGAAGAAACCUCCGGGGCAGAUCGAGGGGCUCGCGGCCUAUCAGCUAGUUGGCGAGGUAACGGCUCACCAAGGCGACGACGGGUAGCUGGUCUGAGAGGAUGGCCAGCCACAUUGGGACUGAGAGACGGCCCAGACUCCUACGGGAGGCAGCAGUGGGGAAUCUUGCGCAAUGGCCGAAAGGCUGACGCAGCGACGCCGCGUGUGGGAUGAAGCAUUUCGGUGUGUAAACCACUGUUGCCCGGGACGAACAGCCUUUUUCGAGAGGCCUGACGGUACCGGGUGAGGAAGCACCGGCUAACUCAGUGCCAGCAGCCGCGGUAAUACGGAGGGUGCGAGCGUUGUCCGGAAUCACUGGGCGUAAAGGGCGCGUAGGUGGCGCGGGCAGUCAACGGUGAAAGUUCGGGGCUCAACCCUGAAUCGGCCGUCGAUACUCCCGUGCUUGAGCACUGUAGAGGCAGAUGGAAUUCCGGGUGUAGCGGUGGAAUGCGUAGAGAUCCGGAAGAACACCGGUGGCGAAGGCGGUCUGCUGGGCAGUAGCUGACACUGAGGCGCGACAGCGUGGGGAGCAAACAGGAUUAGAUACCCUGGUAGUCCACGCCGUAAACGAUGGGUACUAGGUGCUUGGGGGAGCGACCCCCUGAGUGCCGGCGCUAACGCAUUAAGUACCCCGCCUGGGGAGUACGGCCGCAAGGCUGAAACUCAAAGGAAUUGACGG
RNAcentral lists this ribosomal RNA (901 nucleotides) under uncultured bacterium. RNAcentral describes it as "bacterial SSU rRNA". It matches the Rfam family "Bacterial small subunit ribosomal RNA", at positions 8 to 916 of the family's 1533-position model. The record is from RNAcentral.